This 493-nucleotide ribosomal RNA is filed under the name uncultured bacterium. RNAcentral's name for it is "partial 16S ribosomal RNA". It matches the Rfam family "Bacterial small subunit ribosomal RNA", at positions 28 to 506 of the family's 1533-position model. The record is from RNAcentral.
GACGAACGCUGGCGGCGUGCUUAACACAUGCAAGUCGAACGGAAAGGCCUGCUUUCCCUUGUGGAUUGCGGGUACUCGAGUGGCGAACGGGUGAGUAACACGUGAGUGAUCUGCCCCCAACUUGGGUAUAAGCCUGGGAAACUGGGUCUAAUUCCCGAUAGGACUGCAGGGUGGUGCCUGUGGUGGAAAACGAUUUUCUAGUGGUUGGGGAUGAGCUCGCGGCCUAUCAGCUUGUUGGUGGGGUAAUGGCCUACCAAGGCGGCGACGGGUAGCCGGCCUGAGAGGGUGGACGGCCAAAUUGGGACUGAGAUACGGCCCAGACUCCUACGGGAGGCAGCAGUGGGGAAUAUUGCACAAUGGGCGGAAGCCUGAUGCAGCGACGCCGCGUGGGGGAUGACGGCCUUCGGGUUGUAAACUCCUUUCGACCGCGAGGAAGCCACCUGGUUGGAAGGGUGGUGACGGUAGUGGUAGAAGAAGCACCGGCUAACUACGU